RNAcentral lists this unclassified non-coding RNA (434 nucleotides) under Hevea brasiliensis (rubber tree). The record is from RNAcentral. Lineage: Eukaryota; Viridiplantae; Streptophyta; Magnoliopsida; Malpighiales; Euphorbiaceae.
GAUAUAUUUGUUUCGAUGCUUUCUUUUUAUUUUUGUUUUUGUUAGCUGGUUUGUUUAUUAUUGUGAGAGUUUUCUCUGAAAAUCCAAGGCUGCGGAUCCUUAAGAGAGGCUAUGAAAACGGCUGACGGUUACAAAGGCUAGCUUUUCUGUCGAGCAACAUCAUGUUGGUUCAGAGCCAGGCGUAAUAAUUGCGGAAGGAAACAAUUGUUCGCGUUAGGCCUGGGGUUGGUUGGUUGGAUUAGGGUUGUGAUGCAGUAUUGUUGAUUGGAUCGGUAAAAUUUUAUGUGGGAACUGGAUAAUGAAAUUAGCAAACGACAAUAAUAGAGAUAGUAAUUAGAUACAUCUAUUAUAUAUCAUCAAAUAAUGUUGGAAAUUAAGUGCAUAUUGCAGUUUACUUUUCUUCAAUGUGUGCUUCUUUUAGCCAAGUAGGGGUG